UUUAUGAGCUUUUCCUACCCCCCUGAAGAAACUUCAUUGGCCUCCUGGUUACUCACCUUGAAGAGAGUACCAUCCAUUUUAGUGAAAAACACAUCUGUCACCUAGGACAUGACGUGGUCGCAGUUGACAGGAAAAAAAAAAAUCUCAUUUAGUUGUUUUAGAGUUGGUGGCAUUCAGAAUAGUCCCUCCUGAGAAAGAAUUGUAACCAGAUUCCCUUUAAAAAUGAGUUCCCCUCCCUUUCCCCCCAAAGGACACAUCCUGAAGCAGAAGGUGGGGGGGGAAGGAGAAAUGUAAAGGCUUUUACUUUGCAUAAGGAUGGGGGACUGGGGAAAAAGGUGAAGCGAAGCCCAAGGACACCAUGCUAAGGGCAAAAGUAGGAGACAAUCUCAGAACUGAGAGAAUUGUGUCUUCUGCUUUUUGAAGUAGACUGUCACACUCAGGCAGCCUGUCAAUGCUGAAUGUUAGGACUUCUGUCUCCACUGGAGACACGGCCUGGUGCAAGUCAGCGUUUAGUGUUUGACAGCUUUCUCAGCACUCCCUGACUCCGUUUACCUUUACUCCGCAUCCCAUUCUCUUACUGCCUAUCUGAAGGAUUGGAUGGGCAGAGUAUAGGUGGCGGUGGUUGGUCCUCCCCGUAUGUUGUCCAUUUAAUUCCAGAGCACUGAUUUUUCCGAAGUGUGCUCUGCCCUGGGAAAAUGGACACAUGUUCCUCACAAUGGGAAUAACUAAUUACUUCUUUUCUUACAGAAAAAGUUGGUGAUUCAAGGAAAGCACAUUGCAAUGCAUUAUAGCAAUCCCAGACCUAAGUUUGAAGAUUGGCUUUGUAACAAGUGCUGCCUUAACAAUUUCAGGAAAAGACUAAAAUGCUUCCGAUGUGGAGCAGACAAGUUUGACUCUGAACAGGAAGUGCCUCCUGGAACCACAGAGUCGGUUCAGUCUGUGGAUUACUACUGUGAUACGAUCAUUCUUCGGAACAUAGCUCCGCACACUGUGGUGGAUUCCAUCAUGACAGCACUGUCUCCUUACGCGUCUUUAGCAGUCAAUAACAUCCGCCUCAUAAAAGACAAACAGACCCAGCAGAACAGAGGCUUCGCAUUUGUGCAGCUGUCUUCUGCAAUGGAUGCUUCUCAGCUGCUUCAGAUAUUACAGAGUCUCCAUCCUCCUUUGAAAAUUGAUGGCAAAACUAUUGGGGUUGAUUUUGCCAAAAGUGCCAGAAAAGACUUGGUCCUCUCGGAUGGUAACCGCGUCAGCGCCUUCUCUGUAGCUAGUACAGCUAUUGCUGCUGCUCAGUGGUCAUCCACCCAGUCUCAAAGUGGUGAAGGAGGCAGUGUUGACUACAGUUAUCUGCAGCCGGGUCAAGAUGGCUAUGCCCAAUAUGCUCAGUAUUCACAGGAUUAUCAGCAGUUU
This 1407-nucleotide small RNA is filed under the name Pongo abelii (Sumatran orangutan). Its description in RNAcentral is "retained intron". The record is from RNAcentral. Lineage: Eukaryota; Metazoa; Chordata; Mammalia; Primates; Hominidae.